AUUGAACGCUGGCGGCAGGCCUAACACAUGCAAGUCGAGCGGAUGAAGGGAGCUUGCUCCUGGAUUCAGCGGCGGACGGGUGAGUAAUGCCUAGGAAUCUGCCUGGUAGUGGGGGAUAACGUCCGGAAACGGGCGCUAAUACCGCAUACGUCCUGAGGGAGAAAGUGGGGGAUCUUCGGACCUCACGCUAUCAGAUGAGCCUAGGUCGGAUUAGCUAGUUGGUGGGGUAAAGGCCUACCAAGGCGACGAUCCGUAACUGGUCUGAGAGGAUGAUCAGUCACACUGGAACUGAGACACGGUCCAGACUCCUACGGGAGGCAGCAGUGGGGAAUAUUGGACAAUGGGCGAAAGCCUGAUCCAGGCAUGCCGCGUGUGUGAAGAAGGUCUUCGGAUUGUAAAGCACUUUAAGUUGGGAGGAAGGGCAGUAAGUUAAUACCUUGCUGUUUUGACGUUACCAACAGAAUAAGCACCGGCUAACUUCGUG
This 484-nucleotide ribosomal RNA is filed under the name uncultured bacterium. RNAcentral describes it as "partial 16S ribosomal RNA". It matches the Rfam family "Bacterial small subunit ribosomal RNA", at positions 30 to 507 of the family's 1533-position model. The record is from RNAcentral.